CGGACGGGUGAGUAAUGUCUGGGAAACUGCCUGAUGGAGGGGGAUAACUACUGGAAACGAUAGCUAAUACCGCAUAACGUCGCAAGACCAAAGAGGGGGACCUUCGGGCCUCUUGCCAUCGGAUGUGCCCAGAUGGGAUUAGCUAGUAGGUGGGGUAAUGGCCCACCUAGGCGACGAUCCCUAGCUGGUCUGAGAGGAUGACCAGCCACACUGGAACUGAGACACGGUCCAG
Molecule: ribosomal RNA, 232 nt
Filed under: uncultured bacterium
Lineage: Bacteria
Description: partial 16S ribosomal RNA
Rfam family: Bacterial small subunit ribosomal RNA
Source: RNAcentral